GUUGAAACCUAAGGCAAUACCCGAAAGAGAACACAGAGAAGAACACAAAAACCUACUAAACAGAAGGUGGGAUGGAUUAUUUAUUGGAGGUUGGGAGUAUAUUAAUGCUCAGACACAGAGAGGACAGAUUCAAGUGCUUAGUCGCGCAGCUGUCAUUCGAUAUUACAAACCCACCCCUCACUAUCUUCCUUUCUAGACAGCAAAUAAGAGUUUG
Molecule: unclassified non-coding RNA, 214 nt
Filed under: Hevea brasiliensis (rubber tree)
Lineage: Eukaryota; Viridiplantae; Streptophyta; Magnoliopsida; Malpighiales; Euphorbiaceae
Source: RNAcentral